This 253-nucleotide ribosomal RNA is filed under the name uncultured bacterium. RNAcentral's name for it is "partial 16S ribosomal RNA". It matches the Rfam family "Bacterial small subunit ribosomal RNA", at positions 524 to 776 of the family's 1533-position model. The record is from RNAcentral.
UACGAAGGGGGCUAGCGUUGCUCGGAAUCACUGGGCGUAAAGGGUGCGUAGGCGGGUUUUUAAGUCAGGGGUGAAAUCCUGGAGCUCAACUCCAGAACUGCCUUUGAUACUGAAGAUCUUGAGUCCGGGAGAGGUGAGUGGAACUGCGAGUGUAGAGGUGAAAUUCGUAGAUAUUCGCAAGAACACCAGUGGCGAAGGCGGGUCACUGGCCCGGUACUGACGCUGAGGCACGAAAGCGUGGGGAGCAAACAGG